UCAAACUUGGUCAUUUAGAGGAAGUAAAAGUCGUAACAAGGUUUCCGUAGGUGAACCUGCGGAAGGAUCAUUAUCGAGUCUUCUCGUUUUGGCUGUGCAUUAACUUGAACGCCGAACGUUUGACUUACACACACCCUGUGCACCUUUGACUUGUCUGAAUCCACUCGCUUCGUGCGGGGUCUGCUCACUUGUGAGUGGGAUUUUUUGAGUGUUGCGGUUAUAGCUCGCUCUGGGAUGAAUGACUUGUCUUUUUUUUACACCUUUUUGUAUGUCUCUUGAAAAUUAUCGGUUGCUCUGUAAUGGGGUGAUCGUUUAAAUUAAAUACAACUUUCAGCAACGGAUCUCUUGGCUCUCCCAUCGAUGAAGAACGCAGC
This 374-nucleotide unclassified non-coding RNA is filed under the name uncultured fungus. RNAcentral's name for it is "partial contains small subunit ribosomal RNA, internal transcribed spacer 1, and 5.8S ribosomal RNA". The stretch from base 1 to 73 matches the Rfam family "Eukaryotic small subunit ribosomal RNA", at positions 1759 to 1831 of the family's 1831-position model. Lineage: Eukaryota; Fungi. The record is from RNAcentral.